UAAAACUAACAUAUAUUGAUAACUUGAAUAUGUACGGUUAUAAUAAGAAAUAAGAUUUUGUUCUAUUCUAUUUACGAACCUAUAAUAGAAUUAUUAUUAUACAAUCUCUCUUUCUUUCAUCUCUCACUCUAUCUCUCUUCCCAAUCUCCAUCUCUAUAUCCUUCCAUUCUUUCCUCUGGAUAAGUAUUUUUUUUCUUCUUUUUCUUUCUUUUUGUGUAUCUAUAUAUCUCUCUCUAACAUGUAAUAUUGAAAAAUGUGUUAUUGUAUUCUAUUCUAUUUAAAAACAUAGAAUAAAAUUUUAACUAUACAUUCUCUCUUUCUCUCCCUCCCCUUCUCGCUCUCCUUCCCUCCCUCCCUC
This 358-nucleotide long non-coding RNA is filed under the name Brassica napus (rape). RNAcentral describes it as "long non-coding RNA (BNAP_LNC011066)". Lineage: Eukaryota; Viridiplantae; Streptophyta; Magnoliopsida; Brassicales; Brassicaceae. The record is from RNAcentral.